RNAcentral lists this transfer RNA (58 nucleotides) under Prevotella sp. Its description in RNAcentral is "tRNA-Phe". It matches the Rfam family "tRNA", at positions 9 to 63 of the family's 71-position model. From Rfam's summary of the family: Transfer RNA (tRNA) molecules are approximately 80 nucleotides in length. Their secondary structure includes four short double-helical elements and three loops (D, anti-codon, and T loops). Further hydrogen bonds mediate the characteristic L-shaped molecular structure. tRNAs have two regions of fundamental functional importance: the anti-codon, which is responsible for specific mRNA codon recognition, and the 3' end, to which the tRNAs corresponding amino acid is attached (by aminoacyl-tRNA synthetases). tRNAs cope with the degeneracy of the genetic code in two manners: having more than one tRNA (with a specific anti-codon) for a particular amino acid; and 'wobble' base-pairing, i.e. permitting non-standard base-pairing at the 3rd anti-codon position. Lineage: Bacteria; Pseudomonadati; Bacteroidota; Bacteroidia; Bacteroidales; Prevotellaceae. The record is from RNAcentral.
AGCUCAGUUGGUAGAGCAUCGGACUGAAAAUCCGUGUGUCCCCGGUUCGAUUCCUGGA